AACGGUCUAUACCUGCGGUACCUGCGGAGGGAUCAUUAUAGAGUGGUAAACCCCCCGUAAAAGGGGGGGACCUCCUGUCCUUUGUAGGCUCUUUUUUAAAAGGGCUUUUUUUAAUUUUCUGCUUCGGUGGGGUUAUCCCACCGGAACAACCUCAAAACUCUUAUCAAAAAAUCGUUCUGUCUGAGAACCUUUUAUAAUAAAAAAAAACUUUUAGCAAUGGAUCUCUAGAUCGGAAGAGCA
Molecule: unclassified non-coding RNA, 240 nt
Filed under: soil metagenome
Description: partial contains 5.8S ribosomal RNA, internal transcribed spacer 2, and large subunit ribosomal RNA
Source: RNAcentral